Molecule: long non-coding RNA, 312 nt
Filed under: Brassica napus (rape)
Lineage: Eukaryota; Viridiplantae; Streptophyta; Magnoliopsida; Brassicales; Brassicaceae
Description: long non-coding RNA (BNAP_LNC019719)
Source: RNAcentral
GUGGAGAUCCGGGCGUAGUUGGAGCGGGUGGAGACGGCUGAGGAAGCGGAGGUGGAGAUCCCGGCGUAGAUGGAGUUGGUGGAGAUGAAGGAGGAGCAGAAGGUGUAGAGGGAGAAGAAGGAGGAGGAGAUGUCGGAAUAGUGGAUGGCGGCGGAGGAGAAGAAGGUGUGGUGGGAGGAGGAGCGGAAGCUGGAGGAGGAGUGGUGGUUGUGGAGUUUGAUGGUGGAGAUGGAGGCGAACCAGUCCCCGGAGACGGCGCCGAGGACAUGUUUGCUUCUUUGGAUCUAAAUCAAAAAGGCAAAUGAAGAGAGA